Brassica rapa (field mustard) is the source of this 802-nucleotide long non-coding RNA. RefSeq lists it as uncharacterized. The record is from RefSeq and is a predicted model, not a curated record. Lineage: Eukaryota; Viridiplantae; Streptophyta; Magnoliopsida; Brassicales; Brassicaceae.
UCAUUCUAAUCAAACCAGGAUGAAUCGCGAUGUAAGAAGCUUGAUUUUGAUACAUAAAGUAGUGGAGAAUCACCAGGAAGCUGAAUAAAUCUCAUAGGAGUUAGGAUGAAGAAGCUAUCCCACUUUCAAAUCAGGUGAUCCCAGUUUUCUUGUUUGGGAAUAAGACAGCUUCUUUGUCAUUCUAAUCAAACCAGGAUGAAUCGCGAUGUGUAAGACGCUUGAUUUUGAUAACAUAAAUUAUGGAGAAUCACCAGGAAGCUGAAUAAAUCUCAUAGGAGUUAGGAUGAAGAAGCUACCACUUUCAAAUCAGGUGAUCCCAGUUUUCCUGUUUGGAAUAUGACAGCUUCUUGUCAUUCUAAUCAAACCAGGAUGAAUCGCGAUGUAUGAAGCUUGAUUUUGAUACAUAAAGUAGUGGAGAAUCCUCAGGAAGCUGAAUAAAUCUCAUAGGAGUUAGGAUGAAGAAGCUAUCCCACUUUCAAAUCAGGUGAUCCCAGUUUCCUGUUUGGGAAUAUGACAGCUUCUUUGUCAUUCUAAUCAACCCAGAUGAAUCGCGAUGUAAGAAGCUUGAUUUUGAUACAUAAAGUAGUGGAGAAUCACCAGAAGCUGAAUAAAUCUCAUAGGAGUUGGAUGAAGAAGCUAUCCCACUUUCAAAUCAGGUGAUCCCGUUUUCCUGUUUGGGCAUAUGACAGUUUCUUUGUCAUUCUAAUCAAACCAGGAUGAAUCGCGAUGUAAGAAGCUUGAUUUGAACCAUAAGUAAUGGAGAAUCACCAGGAAGCUGAAUAAAUCUCAUAAGAGUUAGGAU